This 257-nucleotide unclassified non-coding RNA is filed under the name Cynanchum lineare subsp. lineare. Its description in RNAcentral is "contains 5' external transcribed spacer, ETS". The record is from RNAcentral. Lineage: Eukaryota; Viridiplantae; Streptophyta; Magnoliopsida; Gentianales; Apocynaceae.
CGGGAGCGACAGUCGUGCACCGGUGUUGGGGUCCAUCUAAUGCAUGUUCGGGCAAGGAUGAGGUGUCCUCAAUGCCCUCCUCGAUGCUUUCCAUAUCCGAGAGAGCCUAAGCAGUGCCCCGCUCACCACGACAGCCGGACGCGACGUGGGCAACGGACCAAGCUAGCUACAAGUUUCGCCUCGUGCCCCGCCAAACCGGGGGAGCACUAGACGAACGAGGGUCGCUGGGACAAAAACAAAUGCCAUCCAUCGUGCAG